AUGGGGGAAACUGAUGUGAAGAUGGUUGGGGUUUCUGCCGAUGAUCAUGCCAUGGAGGCGUUCAUGAGUGCUGGUGCUGAUUUAUUUGUGCCCAAACCAAUGAGGAUGGAGGCUCUUGGCCCUAUCAUUCAGGAGGUCAUCAACAAGAAGAAGAAUGACAUGGUCUAG
This 168-nucleotide ribosomal RNA is filed under the name Triticum aestivum (bread wheat). RNAcentral describes it as "partial small subunit ribosomal RNA". The record is from RNAcentral. Lineage: Eukaryota; Viridiplantae; Streptophyta; Magnoliopsida; Poales; Poaceae.